UGCAAGGAACAAGAGGGAACAAGAGG
This 26-nucleotide non-coding RNA is filed under the name Mus musculus (house mouse). Lineage: Eukaryota; Metazoa; Chordata; Mammalia; Rodentia; Muridae. The record is from RNAcentral.